RNAcentral lists this ribosomal RNA (253 nucleotides) under uncultured bacterium. RNAcentral describes it as "partial 16S ribosomal RNA". It matches the Rfam family "Bacterial small subunit ribosomal RNA", at positions 524 to 776 of the family's 1533-position model. The record is from RNAcentral.
GACAGAGGGCCCGAGCGUUAGGCGGAAUCACUGGGCUUAAAGCGUGUGUAGGCGGGGCGUUAAGUGCCUUGUGAAAUCCCCAGGCUUAACCUGGGAACUGCGUCGGAUACUGGAUGGCUUGAAUUCGGGAGAGGGAUGCAGAAUUCCAGGUGUAGCGGUGAAAUGCGCAGAUAUCUGGAGGAAUACCGGUGGCGAAGGCGGCAUCCUGGACCGACAUUGACGCUGAACGGCGAAAGCUAGGGGAGCAAACGGG